RNAcentral lists this long non-coding RNA (1199 nucleotides) under Lactuca sativa (garden lettuce). Its description in RNAcentral is "long non-coding RNA (LSAT_LNC007572)". The record is from RNAcentral. Lineage: Eukaryota; Viridiplantae; Streptophyta; Magnoliopsida; Asterales; Asteraceae.
AAAUCAAACCACUAAAAUCUUAUUGACAUUAGGUAAAAAGAAAAUUGCAACACAUGACUCAUUCAUCACACUCGUACUCUAAUUUCACAUAUUAUACAAAUAUUUUUAGCUUAUUGCCAUCUCUAUACAUGUUAGAGUAUGUGCUAUCAUUUUUAGAGAAAAAAUCCAACUAAUUAACAUAUCAAUGAUGAAUCACAUUUAAUGUAACCAUAUUAAACCCCAACUCUUUCAAGCAUUUCAUCAAAUGGUUGUCUUGCAUCCAAGGGUCACUUAUGAUUAUAAAAUUGAGCUUUCCUUUUGCCAAUGCUACUCUUCCCAGCAAAUCAAAUAAGAACUUAGUUCAAGGAAAUCUUUAGCCUAAUGCUUCCAGCCUAAUUAAUACCAAUGAACUACAAAAUAUUUGAAUUACAAGCAUUAAAACAUCAUAUAUGAAUACAAUUCUAGCAAUAAUAAAGAUUUAUUUCAGUUAAAACAUAAUUUCCAACAACUAUAUACAUCUAAUUUCAGUUAACAACGCCAUUUUUAGCUAAAAUGUGAUUUCCAACAUAUAUAUACAUCUGAUUUCAGUUAAAAACGUAAUUUCUAGCAACAAUAACAACUAAUUUCAACCAAUUGAAGAACAUUUUUCAUAUUUCAGCAAAACAUAUAUAUUUUUAGCAAAGAAAUCUGAUUUUUAACAACUACUAACAUAUAAUUUCAGCAAAUAAAUCCAAUUUUCAACAAAUGCACAUAUGAUUUUCGUGUUUUAGCAAACUAAUCUGAUUUCACCAUAUAACAUCCGAUUUCCAGCAACUAUAAUAAACCCUAGAAGAUAACAUCUGAUUUUACGGAAAAUGUUCUUACCGGUGAAAGUAGAGAUCGAAGACGACGUUAAGAUGUAGCGAGCGACGGCUAACCUGUUUCAGUGGAAAAACCGGCGGUGAGAUUGUGAAGAUCGAUGGUGGAGCGGCUGAAGAAAAUCUGUGGUGUUUUGUUAAGAGGCUAAAGAGGUAGCGAUGGAUGUCGGCGGCGGAUGUAGACGUCAACGACGAUGGAAGACGACAACUGGGUGGACGGUAAAGGCACUGGCAGCGAGAGGAGGAGGAUGACAGGUGAAGGGCGGGGGGUUGAAGGCUGAGAACGAAAGAGGUGAUGAUAUGUCUAAAGCAAUAAAGGGAGUUUUUUUUAGGUUUUAAUAAUGUGUACAGACUUUAGAAAAC